This 2665-nucleotide ribosomal RNA is filed under the name Wolbachia endosymbiont of Drosophila chauvacae. RNAcentral's name for it is "partial 23S ribosomal RNA". It matches the Rfam family "Bacterial large subunit ribosomal RNA". The record is from RNAcentral. Lineage: Bacteria; Pseudomonadati; Pseudomonadota; Alphaproteobacteria; Rickettsiales; Anaplasmataceae.
GGUUAAGUUAACAAGGGCGCAUGGUGAAUGCCUUGGCACUAGGAGCCGAUGAAGGACGGGACUAACACCGAUAUGCUUCGGGGAGCUGUACGUAAGCUAUGAUCCGGAGAUUUCCGAAUGGGGCAACCCAGCAGUUUUAAUCAACUGUUACCACUAGAUGAAUUCAUAGUCUAGUUGGAGGUAAACGCUGUGAACUGAAACAUCUCAUUAGCAGCAGGAAUAUAAAGAAAUUUCGAUUCCCUAAGUAGCGGCGAGCGAACGGGGAACAGCCCAAACCAAAGUGCUUGCACUUUGGGGUUGUAGGACUGAACAUUUGAGUUACCAAAGAACUUGAUAGUCGAAGGAUUUGGGAAAAUCCGCCAUAGAUGGUGAUAGCCCAGUAGAUUAAAUCAAAUUCUCUCAGUUCAGGAUCCUGAGUACGGCGGAACACGUGAAAUUCCGUCGGAAUCCGGGAGGACCAUCUCCCAAGGCUAAAUACUACCUAGUGACCGAUAGUGAACCAGUACCGUGAGGGAAAGGUGAAAAGCACCCCGGGAGGGGAGUGAAAUAGUUCCUGAAACCAUGUGCCUACAAUAAGUCAGAGCGCGUUAAUGCGUGAUGGCGUGCCUUUUGUAGAAUGAACCGGCGAGUUAUGAUCCCGUGCAAGGUUAAGACUAAAAAGUCGGAGCCGUAGCGAAAGCGAGUCUGAAAUGGGCGUUUUGAGUACGAGGUUAUAGACCCGAAACCAGGUGACCUAUCCAUGUCCAGGUUGAAGGUGCGGUAAAACGCACUGGAGGACCGAACCCGUGUAAGUUGAAAAUUGCUGGGAUGAGGUGUGGAUAGCGGUGAAAUUCCAAACGAACUUGGAGAUAGCUGGUUCUCUCCGAAAUAGCUUUAGGGCUAGCCUCGGAAUUAGGAUCAUGGAGGUAGAGCACUAUUUGGACUAGGGGCCCGUCUUGGGUUACUGAAUUCAGAUAAACUCCGAAUGCCAUUGAUUCAUAUCCGGGAGUCAGACGAUGAGUGAUAAGAUCCACCGUCGAAAGGGGAACAGCCCAGACCAUCAGUUAAGGUCCCUAAAUGUAUGCUAAGUGGAAAAGGAUGUGGAGUUGCAUAGACAACUAGGAUGUUGGCUCAGAAGCAGCCACCAUUUAAAGAGUGCGUAAUAGCUCACUAGUCGAGUGAUCCUGCGCCGAAAAUGUACCGGGGCUAAGCAUACUACCGAAACCAUGGAUGCGACCAUUAGGUCGCGUGAUAGGAGAGCGUUCUAAGGGCGGUGAAGCAAGAUCGUGAGGACUUGUGGAGCGCUUAGAAGUGAGAAUGCCGGUAUGAGUAGCGAAAGAUAGGUGAGAAUCCUAUCCACCGAAUGACUAAGGUUUCCUGGGGAAGGCUCGUCCUCCCAGGGUUAGUCGGGACCUAAGUCGAGGCCGAGAGGCGUAGACGAUGGAUAACAGGUUGAGAUUCCUGUACUAGUUAAGUGCGUUUGAGCAAUGGAGGGACGCAGGAGGCUAAGAUGUGCAUUCUGUUGGAUUAGAAUGUCCAAGCAGUAAGUCUUGUGAAGAGUCAAAUGCUUUUCACUUUAAGGACAAGCUGUGAUGGGGAGCGAAAUUUAGUAGCGAAGCGUCUGAUGUCACACUGCCGAGAAAAGCUUCUAGUGAGUACUUAACUACCCGUACCGCAAACCGACACAGGUAGUCGAGGAGAGAAUCCUAAGGUGAGCGAGUGAACUCUCGUUAAGGAACUCGGCAAAAUGNCCCCGUAACUUCGGGAGAAGGGGUGCUGAUCGCAAGAUCAGCCGCAGUGAAUAGGCCCAGGCGACUGUUUAUCAAAAACACAGGUCUCUGCAAAAUCGUAAGAUGACGUAUAGGGGCUGACGCCUGCCCGGUGCUGGAAGGUUAAAAGGAUGGGUUAGCUUCGGCGAAGCUCAGAAUUGAAGCCCCAGUAAACGGCGGCCGUAACUAUAACGGUCCUAAGGUAGCGAAAUUCCUUGUCGGGUAAGUUCCGACCCGCACGAAAGGCGUAACGAUCUGGGCACUGUCUCAACGAGAGACUCGGUGAAAUUAUAUUGUCCGUGAAGAUGCGGACUACCCGCGACAGGACGGAAAGACCCCAUGGAGCUUUACUGUAGCUUGAUAUUGAGUGUUUGUACAGCUUGUACAGGAUAGGUAGGAGCCAUAGAAACCGGAACGCUAGUUUCGGUGGAGGCGUUGGUGGGAUACUACCCUCGCUGUAUGACCACUCUAACCCGCACCACUAAUCGUGGUGGGAGACAGUGUCAGGUGGGCAGUUUGACUGGGGCGGUCGCCUCCUAAAAAGUAACGGAGGCGCCCAAAGGUUCCCUCAGAAUGGUUGGAAAUCAUUCGCAGAGUGUAAAGGCACAAGGGAGCUUGACUGCGAGACAGACAGGUCGAGCAGGGACGAAAGUCGGGCUUAGUGAUCCGGUGGUACCGUAUGGAAGGGCCAUCGCUCAACGGAUAAAAGCUACCCUGGGGAUAACAGGCUUAUCUCCCCCAAGAGUCCACAUCGACGGGGAGGUUUGGCACCUCGAUGUCGGCUCAUCGCAUCCUGGGGCUGUAGUCGGUCCCAAGGGUUGGGCUGUUCGCCCAUUAAAGCGGUACGCGAGCUGGGUUCAGAACGUCGUGAGACAGUUCGGUCCCUAUCCGUCGCGGGCGUAGGAAAUUUGAGAGGA